GUGCACGCUGGCGGUAGGCCUAACACAUGCAAGUCGCACGGCAGCACAGUAAGAGCUUGCUCUUACGGGUGGCGAGUGGCGGACGGGUGAGGAAUACAUCGGAAUCUACUUUUUCGUGGGGGAUAACGUAGGGAAACUUACGCUAAUACCGCAUACGACCUACGGGUGAAAGCAGGGGAUCUUCGGACCUUGCGCGAUUGAAUGAGCCGAUGUCGGAUUAGCUAGUUGGCGGGGUAAAGGCCCACCAAGGCGACGAUCCGUAGCUGGUCUGAGAGGAUGAUCAGCCACACUGGAACUGAGACACGGUCCAGACUCCUACGGGAGGCAGCAGUGGGGAAUAUUGGACAAUGGGCGCAAGCCUGAUCCAGCCAUACCGCGUGGGUGAAGAAGGCCUUCUGGUUGUAAAGCCCUUUUGUUGGGAAAGAAAAGCAGCAGGUUAAUACCCCGCUGUUCUGACGGUACCCAAAGAAUAAGCACCGGCUAACUUCGUG
This 491-nucleotide ribosomal RNA is filed under the name uncultured bacterium. RNAcentral describes it as "partial 16S ribosomal RNA". It matches the Rfam family "Bacterial small subunit ribosomal RNA", at positions 29 to 507 of the family's 1533-position model. The record is from RNAcentral.